AGAAUGUAAAAAAUAUCGAUAUUAUCCUAAUCGAAAAUGUAUAGGAUUUGUUUGAUGUUUAAUUGAAACAGUGCUACUCCGGCCCUUUCCCGUCCGUGAGGUCUGGCGAGAUCCUUCGAUUCCCUCUCUCCGGUCUCUUCUCUGAUCGGAAUCUACCGAGUUUCCGGCGAAUCGGAUUCUUCCUCCGCCUUCAGACGCCGCCGCUCCGUCGAGGAGCCGAUGCCUUUUUCCGGCGAUCAUUGGGAUCCGCUGCUAAGGAUCGAACUCUUUUGGGUGCCUUUGCUGAAAGCAAUUUGUUUUGGUAGAAGCUGGACAUGCAAAAGUGUUCUCGAGUUUGAGGAUUAGAAGAGCAAUAAGAGAGGGCUCUUGAAAUGGUGUAGGGUUCGAGGAUGAGCUGAUAAGGUUUCGGAAGUCGAAAGGAGCCAUCAAUCUACUGAUCUGAGGUUCUUCAAUCUUGGCAUGGACUGGUUACAGCAAAGACAGGUAAGUUCGUGAAAACGAUAAAAGAAAAUCUAAUGGAGAGGGGGAGGGGGAGAGAGAGAGAAUAUGAUGUUGCCUGCUUUUUUCGACGGAGCCAUGAAUCUGCAGACGCUACAUCUUGGAGCCGAGAGCAAGAGGCAUAAGAGGAGAAAGUGGAUGAGGACCUGUCUUCUCAUCAUCAUGUGCUUGUCGAGGUUGUGAAUACUGUCGGGCCAGCUCAUUUGCUUCAGCCUUCACCGUCCUGAAACUUUGGUUGGUGUAUCCAGGAGGAGGAGGUAUCCGCACGCAUUGCAGGCAGGGGCCAUGGAGGGGAUUCCGAAUCUUGGCGACAUACUCAUCGUGAGUUGACUUCUUCUCUCGUCAUCAUUUCCUAGUUAUCAAUUGAUCCAUGAUAGAAUUUUGCUACCUACCCUUUUUGUCUUUCAUUAUGAUGGUGAUGAUGAUGAUGAUGAUGGGUUUUUUGCUCUUUAACCUUGUCGGCUCUCGUUUUUAUAGUCCCACCAUUUUUUUUCAAGCCGAAAUAUCUCUUGUCGUGUAAUUGGAUACGAUAAGAUUGGAUGAAAUGGAUGGAAUAUACGGAGAUGUUUUGGAUACAUGUGAUUGAGUGUAAGUUAGGUGAUUUAUUAUA
RNA transcript from Tarenaya hassleriana, 1108 nucleotides. RefSeq lists it as uncharacterized. The transcript is spliced from 5 exons. NCBI's taxonomy places the organism in Eukaryota, Viridiplantae, Streptophyta, Magnoliopsida, Brassicales, Cleomaceae. The record is from RefSeq and is a predicted model, not a curated record.